RNAcentral lists this ribosomal RNA (633 nucleotides) under Gymnodinium corii. RNAcentral's name for it is "eukaryotic LSU rRNA". It matches the Rfam family "Eukaryotic large subunit ribosomal RNA", at positions 38 to 664 of the family's 3401-position model. The record is from RNAcentral. Lineage: Eukaryota; Dinophyceae; Gymnodiniales; Gymnodiniaceae.
GCAUAUAAGUAAGCGGAGGAAAAGGAACUAAAUAGGAUUCCCUUAGUAAUGGCGAACGAACAGGGAUGAGCUCGGCUUGGAAACUGGGGCUUCGGCCUUGGAUUGUAGCCUCUAGACAUAGUACCAACGGAGGCGCAGGUGUAAGCCUCUUGGAAAAGAGCAUCAACGUGGGUGAGAAUCCUGUGUUUCAUCUGCAGUCCACCGUGCACGGUACAUGUUCUCAGAGUCGCGUACCUCGGAAUUGGUGCGUAAAGUGGGUGGUAAAUUUCAUCUAAAGCUAAAUAUAGGCUUGAGACCGAUAGCAAACAAGUACCAUGAGGGAAAGAUGAAAAGGACUUUGAAAAGAGAGUUAAAAGUGUUUGAAAUUGCUGAAAGGGAAGCGAAUGGAACCAGUCCUCUGGCUGAGAUUGGUGCAUGCUCCUGUGAUGCCCGGCUGCUUCAGCGCAAGCGUGGUAGUUGGAGUUGAGCGGCUGUGUGUGCUGUUUCUCAGCUUGUGAGUCAACUUCUGUUCAUGCUUGGGGAUAGCCUCUUUGUCAUGACGAGCUCUGCGGGGUUAGUCUUGUCUUUGCAGGGACUCAGGCGUGUACAGCUUGCUGACGAAAUGGUUCUCUUUCGACCCGUCUUGAAACACGG